Molecule: small nuclear RNA, 157 nt
Filed under: Panthera leo (lion)
Lineage: Eukaryota; Metazoa; Chordata; Mammalia; Carnivora; Felidae
Also listed under: 1 other name
Description: U2 spliceosomal RNA (ENSPLOG00000005500.1)
Rfam family: U2 spliceosomal RNA
About the family: U2 is a small nuclear RNA (snRNA) component of the spliceosome (involved in pre-mRNA splicing).
Source: Rfam by way of RNAcentral
AUCGCUUCUCGGCCUUUUGGCUAAGAUCAAGGGUAGUAUCAAAAAUACGUUCCAAGGAAUUCAAAUUACACGAUUUUCCAAACCUAACCUAACUCCUCAAGUGUUGUCAUGUAUAUUUUUUUUAGUGUUGUAAUAUUUUAAUCAUGGCAGGAGCUAU